GUCUUUGUAGUGCAAUUGGAAGCACGUUCUACCCAAAUUCGAGAGGUUCCUGGUUCGAAUCCCAGCGAAGGCG
RNAcentral lists this transfer RNA (73 nucleotides) under Stegodyphus mimosarum. It matches the Rfam family "tRNA". From Rfam's summary of the family: Transfer RNA (tRNA) molecules are approximately 80 nucleotides in length. Their secondary structure includes four short double-helical elements and three loops (D, anti-codon, and T loops). The record is from Rfam by way of RNAcentral. Lineage: Eukaryota; Metazoa; Arthropoda; Arachnida; Araneae; Eresidae.